Molecule: long non-coding RNA, 1470 nt
Organism: Dermacentor silvarum
Lineage: Eukaryota; Metazoa; Arthropoda; Arachnida; Ixodida; Ixodidae
Exons: 2
Source: RefSeq, a predicted model, not a curated record
GGGUUAAACAUACAUUCAACUGAUUGUUCUUUUUGCUUGUCACACUGCAAGGCAUUAGCUUCACGUCACCUAAUGAUGAAGCCCCCGCUACAUCUUCCCCUCCCACUCCCUUCCCUUAAUGCAGGCUAGCCCAACAGGUCUCAGCCUUGAUUAAAAUGCCUGCCAUUCAUUUACACUUCUAUCUCUCUCUCUAGCACGAACACACGUGAAAGUCGUCUGGGGAAAUAAUUAAGACUCUUUAGAACACAGGAAACAUUUCAAGCAUACAGCCGGCCUGCUCCCGCGGUAUACCGGCGCGCAUGUUUGUCGAAACGUGUUCCUCCGUAAAUGGGGCCAAAAGCACGUUUCACUGUCGAUGGUACUGCUGAAGUUAAUAUUUCAAAAAGAUUGCGUUGCUGUCUCUUUCUCUCUCUCAUUUUUAAUUUUUUUUUCUGAUCCCACAGGCUUCGUGACCUGGUUUCUGUCUUGGCGCGCCCUUCGUCCUCUCAGCAGGCUGGCCUUAGGCAUGUACCUAGUGCACAUGCCUUUCAUGCAGUUCACUUUGAACAUCUCCAGGGAAAGGAUGUUCUUCUCGCACUUCUUCGUGAUGUCCUUCGCCAUGGUCAUACUCACCUGGGGCUUUCUUCUCACCUACCUGCUCUAUGUGUACUGCGAGGCGCCAGCUUGCAGAAUGGUGGAGCUCCUCUUCAGGACUCGGUGUACGAAGAGCGACGGUACAGCCGGCGACGAGCUGCCGAUCGUCUUCGGUUCCGAAGAAAAACUGCCACACAUCAGUGCAACGUUCCAUAAGGCCGAAAAGGCCCCUGCAACGAAGAAGAUGGACACCAUAAAUAAAUUUGACAGCUUUCAUCGCGGCAACAGUAGCCUCGUAAGUUGCCAUCUAUAGUUUCGUUUUCUGCAGUGGAGUUCCUACCAAUAAUGCUCUAGAAGCAACUAUGUACAAAUGUUCUGACGAGAUAGCCCCAAUUAAAAAAGGUCAAAAUUCAAAGACAGAUGUGUUUUUAGGUCUAAAUAAACAAAAAUAAUAAACAAUUUUUUGUUUAUUUUGUUGAAGGUGACAUGCAUGUCAUGCUGCAUAAGCGUCAUCAAAUACCUCUUCAAACUGCAUCUUAUCUGAAGAAACUUGCAACAACAUGUAAUCCACUUUGGCGUUGCACUCAAACGCCACCAUUUAAAUGUAUACUGAUUGUCGUCACUUAUGUACCACUGAAGAGGUUCAUAUAAUUGCCGCUAGCUUUAGCAUUCCUUUUCUUGCAGGAACGAUAAUCUUGCAGAGUCGCUAAAAGUUUUUCAUAAGAUUUACUGAUCGCGGACAUGAUGAUGUUGCACAGCUUUUUGUUGGGCUGCCUAUACUCAAUUCAGUUAAAUACUCGUAAUAGAAAGGGCACUGACGAUGGGUUGUACGCAUGCGGGGGGGCUGUGCUCGCUUUGUAUAUUGCCCUGUUGCAAUAAAAACAACGUUGUUAGUCA